AGGAAAACUCAACCUUCAAGCCCUACUAAACAUUCAAACGCCGCCGCUCUGCGAGCGAAGCGAUACAGGAACCCAGUGACGCGGAUGUGGAUAAUGUGAUUUAUUGGAGGAGUUAAAUUAAAUUUAAUUGUAUGGUGAUUACAUAACUGUGAAAAUAUUAUUAUUUUAGGUAAAAUAAUAGAUGAUCCUGCUAUUAUCACUAAUAUUUUUUAUAUAUAAUUAUAUGAAUUAUUCCAUUAA
Molecule: long non-coding RNA, 240 nt
Organism: Humulus lupulus (European hop)
Lineage: Eukaryota; Viridiplantae; Streptophyta; Magnoliopsida; Rosales; Cannabaceae
Exons: 2
Source: RefSeq, a predicted model, not a curated record